AACCAUUCUCACCUGCGGCUAGACCUGCGGAAGGAUCAUUAACAUUUUUGGAGGUAGGCUGUAUAAGUCUGGUUGGUAACAACUAGCAUGGCCCCUCUGAUUUGUACCCUUGUCUAUUUGCGCACUUAUGUUUCCUCGGUGGGCUUGCCUGCCGAUUGGACAAACUUAUAACCUUUUUAAUUGUUAAAUCAGCGUCUGAAACAAACAUAAUAAUUACAACUUUCAGCAACGGAUCUCAGA
Molecule: unclassified non-coding RNA, 240 nt
Filed under: soil metagenome
Description: partial contains 5.8S ribosomal RNA, internal transcribed spacer 2, and large subunit ribosomal RNA
Source: RNAcentral